GGCUUGCCCCGGGGCAGAGCCGCGAACGGGUGAGUAACACGUGGGUUACCUGCCCCAAUGACCGGGACAACCCGAGGAAACUCGGGCUAAUACCGGAUGUGGUCUUCGGACGAAAGGAAGCUUCGGCCUCCGCAUUGGGAUGGGCCCGCGGCGCAUUAGCUUGUUGGUGGGGUAACGGCCUACCAAGGCGACGAUGCGUAGCUGGUCUGAGAGGACGAUCAGCCACACUGGGACUGAGACACGGCCCAGACUCCUACGGGAGGCAGCAGUGGGGAAUCUUGCGCAAUGCGCGAAAGCGUGACGCAGCAACGCCGCGUGGGGGAAGAAGGCCUUCGGGUUGUAAACCUCUUUCAGUUGGGACGAAGCUUCGCGGGUUAAUAGCCUGCCGGAGUGACGGUACCUUCAGAAGAAGCCCCGGCUAACUACGUGCCAGCAGCCGCGGUAAUACGUAGGGGGCAAGCGUUGUCCGGAAUCAUUGGGCGUAAAGAGCGUGUAGGCGGCCCGAUAAGUCCGCUGUGAAAGUCCAGGGCUCAACCCUGGAAUGCCGGUGGAUACUGUCGGGCUCGAAUCCGGAAGAGGUGAGUGGAAUUCCUGGUGUAGCGGUGAAAUGCGCAGAUAUCAGGAGGACACCAAUGGCGAAGGCAGCUCACUGGGACGG
This 658-nucleotide ribosomal RNA is filed under the name uncultured Actinomycetes bacterium. Its description in RNAcentral is "bacterial SSU rRNA". It matches the Rfam family "Bacterial small subunit ribosomal RNA", at positions 77 to 737 of the family's 1533-position model. The record is from RNAcentral. Lineage: Bacteria; Bacillati; Actinomycetota; Actinomycetes.